AAUUAUUAAACUUUAAGAAGUAUAUGUCUUGAAAACAUAAAAUAGAAUAAAAAUUUUCUAAUAAUUU
RNAcentral lists this transfer RNA (67 nucleotides) under Encarsia obtusiclava. Its description in RNAcentral is "tRNA-Ser". The record is from RNAcentral. Lineage: Eukaryota; Metazoa; Arthropoda; Insecta; Hymenoptera; Aphelinidae.